Scatophagus argus is the source of this 918-nucleotide long non-coding RNA. RefSeq lists it as uncharacterized. The transcript has 3 exons. Lineage: Eukaryota; Metazoa; Chordata; Actinopteri; Scatophagidae. The record is from RefSeq and is a predicted model, not a curated record.
CCCAUCGUCGGGACGACGAUUUAAUCAGUGGGGGUGGAUUGUGGCAGGACGCAAUCGGUGGUCCGAUCAGUUUCAGCUGGGUUGGGAUUUUGGCCAAUCAUUGUGGGAGGAGACUGCUUAAAAGCGGGUAGAGAGCACCUGUCUUCCUUUUUUGGCCUGUCAGAGGCUGGGUCGUAGCACUUCCUGGCAUUCCCCCAGUUCUGUCCUGGCGUGGUGGUAGAGGCCAUUGGGGGUGCGCUAUGCUCCACUGAUUGCUCGCUGCGGAUAGGUGUGUUGUUCUCCGGUGUCCUCCUAUUUGGCGUUGUACUUGUGGCAACUUGUGCAUUUGUUUGCAGGUUGUUUCUGUGCGGUGUUUAUUCCUCUCCUCCACGCUGUGUCGUCCAGGACUGCCUGAUUGGGGGAAGUAUAAUCCAGCUGCUGCGCAGUGUCGGCCGAUCAGCGAGGGAAACCACUGCUGCUUUGCCGGGGAUUGUUGGCUGCAACCGCGGCUAACAGCUUUGCCUCAUACCGGAGAUCGUUGGCUGUAACAGCGACUAACUGCUCUGCCUCAUACCGGAGAUCGUUGGCUGUAACAGCGACUAACUGCUCUGCCUCAUACCGGAGAUUGUCGUUGGUGACAGAGAUUGCCCGCUUCCGCUUUACGCUGGAUGCGGCGUGCCGUCAGGGGGAUUAACUGCUUGUCUCGCCUUGGGCUCGAUUGCUUCGCCCCGGGCGUGCGCCGUCCCACUGCAGCCGGCUUGGCCUCUGGCUGGCCGUUCGGCCGGUUGGAGCUUCUCCCUGCGGUGUAGCCGAUAUACAUCCAUAUGUAUAUGUUUGCGUGCACUACUGUGUGCGUGUGUGUGUAUGGCGAAGAGUGAGUAGCGGGAGAUUAUUCUGGUGCUGAACCUACGGUGGUGGAUGGUCCUGGUGGCGGUGUCC